Small nucleolar RNA from Cavia porcellus (domestic guinea pig), 136 nucleotides. Lineage: Eukaryota; Metazoa; Chordata; Mammalia; Rodentia; Caviidae. The record is from Ensembl.
GUGACCCUGAAUCAAGGCCAGCAGUUUGUUGUAGCUGCUGGUUUCAACCAGGAGCCUAAAGAGAGGUCUUUCUAGGGUCUGUUGGGCAUUUCAGAACUUUGGAAAUAUAUAGUCAAUUUAUUAGAAAGAAAUACUU